Molecule: ribosomal RNA, 407 nt
Filed under: uncultured bacterium
Lineage: Bacteria
Description: partial 16S ribosomal RNA
Rfam family: Bacterial small subunit ribosomal RNA
Source: RNAcentral
AUUGAACGCUGGCGGCAGGCCUAACACAUGCAAGUCGAGCGGAGCGGCCGACGGGUGCGUAAUGCCUAGGAAUCUGCCUGGUUUUGGGGGCUAACGUCCGGAAACGGGCGCUAAUACCGCAUACUAUCAGAUCAGCCUAUGUCGGAUUAGCUAGUUGGUGGGGUAAAGGCCUACCAAGCCCACGAUCUGUAACUGGUCUGAGAGGAUGAUCAGUCACACUGGACCUGAGACACGGUCCAGACUCCUACGGGAGGCAGCAGUGGGGAAUAUUGGACAAGUGGCGAAAGCCUGAUCCAGCCCUGCCGCGUGUGUGAAGAAGGUCUUCGGAUUGUAAAGCACUUUAAGUUGGGAGGCGUUACCAACAGAAUAAGCACCGGCUAAAUACGUGCCAGCAGCCGCGGUAAUUC